This 272-nucleotide ribosomal RNA is filed under the name uncultured prokaryote. Its description in RNAcentral is "partial 16S ribosomal RNA". It matches the Rfam family "Bacterial small subunit ribosomal RNA", at positions 524 to 796 of the family's 1533-position model. The record is from RNAcentral.
UACGUAGGGUGCAAGCGUUGUCCGGAAUUAUUGGGCGUAAAGAGCUCGUAGGCGGUCUGUCGCGUCGGAUGUGAAAAUCCAGGGCUCAACCCUGGACCUGCAUUCGAUACGGGCAGACUAGAGUUCGGUAGGGGAGACUGGAAUUCCUGGUGUAGCGGUGAAAUGCGCAGAUAUCAGGAGGAACACCGGUGGCGAAGGCGGGUCUCUGGGCCGAAACUGACGCUGAGGAGCGAAAGCGUGGGGAGCAAACAGGAUUAGAUACCGGGUAGUCC